ACUCAGUUGAAGAGUCCCUAAUAGAGCGAAAUGCGCAUCCUGAAU
RNAcentral lists this non-coding RNA (45 nucleotides) under Trichobilharzia regenti. Lineage: Eukaryota; Metazoa; Platyhelminthes; Trematoda; Strigeidida; Schistosomatidae. The record is from RNAcentral.